RNAcentral lists this long non-coding RNA (640 nucleotides) under Linum usitatissimum (flax). RNAcentral's name for it is "long non-coding RNA (LUSI_LNC004618)". Lineage: Eukaryota; Viridiplantae; Streptophyta; Magnoliopsida; Malpighiales; Linaceae. The record is from RNAcentral.
AGAGACUCUGCGGUUUCAACCUUAUCUUCCGUGACUUCACACGACAGGUACUUCCCGCAAUGGCUUUUUUCGACAGAAGGGGAGCUCUCUGCUCUCUUUCUCGCUAUGCAUUGGUCUCUCGAUAAGGGUCUUUCUAGAGAGUUACUUUUGAAGUUGAUUGUCUUGCAGCUUGCACUGUGGAUUCGGAACUGCCAUAACGACGUCAUGGAGAAGAGUCGUUUCGCAAGUCUUUGUAGUCUGUUUUUUUAUUGUAACAUCACUUGUAAGAUGAUUUUUGUUAGGAGAGCUAGAAAUCAAACAACACAUAAAAUAACUCGUUGCUCACAUUUUUAACUUCAAAGAUUGAUAUAACUACUCCUAACUGGUUAUGUGUAUCACGUAUGUGUAUCCAAAACAUCCAAGACUUUCUCAUAAUGAUUGAACAACCACUUGAAUUUACUAAUAAACGCUUCCAUUUGGCCUCUUACAUAAAUAAAUCAAAGGCCAAAAUCACCCCUCCUGCUCUGCCUCCAGGAAAGCAGGAAGAACAGAGGGAAUUAGCGGGGAAAUGAAGAUGGAAUUUGAAAAAAUAACGAGAAAAUAUUUAAAAAAUGCAUCUUCCUUGUUCUGUAGUAUUCAAACUGUAAGUUUGUUUUUGUGG